GGGGAUGUUAAUCUUCUCUGUGCACAUCGGGACAUAGACGGAACAAAGGAAGAACUGGAAGAGAGGAACAGAAAUCACAACUCUCCCAAAGCCCCUUUCCUCAGAUAAUUCGGAGAUUGAUAUACCUCUCCAGCCAGAUGAGCAGAACAGACAAGAAGUUGCAAGGCAAAGUCACUGUCAGGAUCCGGUGACGAUGUGGACUGCAACCCACCUUACCCUAUGUGGACAUAUGCUCUUCCUCUAACUCCCUGGCAGGGUAGGUCCAGGUACUAAUUGUUAGAAAGCUGACAAAAUAAAACAAAUAGCCAUGUGAUGACAAGGAGGGGUGGUGUGGCCACGAAAGAAAACAGAUCAGCUUAGAUUGGCUUCAACUGUCAAGGAACCGCACCCUUAUUCUUUCCUACCAAGCUGAUCCUCACAGUAUUUUAGCACUGUACUGAGGUUUUGUUAUCAAUGGAACAAAUGCAGAAUUUUAUUUUUAUUAUUGCUGGAUCAAGCAUUUGAGUAUGUACUGAUCUUUCAUUCUUGAGCAGUAUAAUUUAUAUUUGGAGACUGACAAUUUCUCUAGUUCCCCAUAGACAUAUAGAUGAACAUAGAAAAUUGCGAGAGCUUAUGUGAAUUCUGUUUUUCUCAGGCAUUUUUAUUCCUCAGAGAGACUUCCAUGGGGCCAAAUUACCAUGAAAACUAGAUUACCAUGAUAUUUCAGUUCCUUACGGUAAAAGUUCAUGUCAUUCAUUACUGUUGACAGUAUACACGCAUCCUUGGGGAACUAUGAAAAAUAUAAAAAGAAAACUUCUAAAAAUGUGCAUAAAAAACAUAUGAAAAACACCAUUUAACUUGAAUAUUCCCCGGGCAAAACUAAAGCCAAUUCUUUUCCGAAUACAAAAAUUUCAGGCCACAGCUGGGCAUAGCGCUGCAUUGAAACGUAAGACUAUUACUCAGUAUAUGACAUAAGAUCACUCCAGAUAGAAGAAGAAAACAAUUGGAAAGAAGAUCAGCACACAAGCCCCUUUGCUCUGCCCACAAGGUGCAAAGCAGUGGGGAGUCAGGCUCCUGACGCAGACAAAGGGCACUGUGUCUUCUCUUCCAGUGCAGCCCGUGCCUGAGGCUGAGACCUAGACUGACCCCUCCUCAUUUUAAGCUUGCAGGAAAAGCUCUCAAGAGUGCACUUCACCACCAGAUCAAGACCACUGCAAUGGAGGACAACCAAUGAAAAGGCCAUUGAUGCUCUCCAUGCUGUCCCAAACCCUGCCUCUCCUUUCUAUGCAUUCUUAUCAAUGUCUACAAAUACCUUAAGGGCGAGUGGCAGGAGGAGGGGGCCAGGCUCUUUUCAGCGGUGCUCAGCGACAACAGGCACACUCUGAAACACAACAAGUUCCAUCUGAAUAUGAGGAAAAGCUUCUUUACCCUGAGGGUGGCGGAGCCCUGGCACAGGCUGCCCAGAGAGCCUGGGGAGUCUCCUGCUCCGGAGACAUUCAGAACCCACCUGAUGUGACUCUGCGCACCCUGCCCCAGGAGAACCUGCUUGAGCAGGGGGUGGGGCUAGGUGACCUCCAGACGUCCCUUCCAGCCCUGACCAUCCUGUGAUGUAGGAGUUGUGCAGCCAAGGGUGAGGUUUUUGGUAGGUUUUGCCAUUGCUACGUGAGUCUGCCAUUGAACACCACAUAGUCAAGGCAGACAGAGAAGCUACUCAAGAGUCCAGAUCAGACCUAAUGUGGCUGCACUGGAGAUGCUCCACUCUCCCUCAACUGUCAAAAGAGCUUAGGAUGUCUAUCUCAUUCUUUAGCUGCUCCAAGCAGUUGGGUAAAGUUAAGAGGAACUAACAUAAGAGGGUGGAAGUUAAGGACGAAUUUAUGCAGGAACCCUUGGGCAAAGUGUAUGACUGUGGAAUAAAUAUUCUUGAUUUCAGCCUGACUAGAGGAUCAUUUUAACACCUUUAUUGUAAGACUGGCAUAUGAAACUGUAACACCAUGCCACGCCAGCAUCUGAAUUAUGAAAGGAUGAACUGGGUCAGAAGUUCAUCUUACCAAUUUCAGUAAGAAAAAAGCCAGCAUUUCCAGAGAUCAUUUGUUACGUAGACACAUAGGAAAAGAGGAUUUUAAAUAGCCCUUCUAGAAAGUGGUACUGGUAAAAGAUGACUCUGGGGUUUAUUUUCUUCAGCUAAAACAAACUGAGAUGCUGGAUGUUAAAUGACAUUUAUUUUAAGAUAACGAGCUGCUGCUAAGCCGUACUGCAAACUUGUACAUCUCUUUUUUGGUGUCCUCAAUAAUUAUAGCUCCUCCACACAGUGGUAAAAGCUGUAUAGUCUUUCAACCUGGGCUAUUCAGUUAACUUAAAAUGUUGCUUCGUCACCUGAAAAUAUGCUUUGCUGCACUGCUUUUACAUAAAAUCUCCUUAAACAAAUGGAUGCAGUUCAGUGGGGGUGGGAGUGCUGGGAAGAGAUAUAACUUCUUGCGCACAUUGUGAUUUCCCAUGUCAAGUUUACUAAAGUUUCGGUAUGAGGGAACUUAUUUGAAAUACGUCAUUUGGGUUAAUGCUGCUUCGUGGCAUUGAGACAUAAAUUGCACAUCCAUGGACAUCAGGUCAUUAACCACCCUUAGCGCCUCAUUUUUGGGGCACCAUACUAUCCCCGCCAGGGCUGUGUAAGUUCCCUUCGGGCUUUUGACCAAAGAGAUCUGUGUAAAACAUUACCUUUACAUGUCUUCUCCAAAAGAAAAAAAAAAAAAAAGAAGCAAAAUUCUUUUAUUUUCUAUAAAUAGGAUGUAAAAGGAAGGUGCUUUCCUGGUGUGGGAGGGGAAUGUAAAAUGAUACCAUGUCUGAGCAGUUACCUCAUCUCCAUGCACAGGCAUACGCACAUGCAUACCGAGCUCCAGCCAAUGCAGUAAGUUUUCCGCUCUCCGUCUUCAAAAUCUUCCAAUGUUAAAAACCACCACCAAAACAUCAGGAGAAACCUUCUGAGAGUGACAUAUAUCAGCCUGCAAAAUGACCCCUCCCAGGGAGCGCUGAAAGCCCUGUCAUGUUAUAAACAACAGUAAUUCUUCAUGCAUGAGGUGCACAAAGCUGGACAAACAUUAAAUGGUCUGUGACACAUGCUGCUGAGAUGUUGCUGCUACGCAGAGGCAUGGAUGGGGAUUUGGGCUUAGGGCCCAAAGAUCACGCCUAUUCCUAAUAAAGAAUUUACACUCAAGUUCAUCUCUUCUAGCUGGGCACUCAGACACCAAGAUAACUCCACAACAUCUGCUUACAACUAGACAAAACACUGGAAGCUAUUCUCUGGAAGAUAAUAUCGCCGAGGCUAAAGAAAUAAGCUAUUACUUUAAGGCGGGGAUUUUUUGGGGAGCUGCAAAGUUAGGUGUCCAACCUAUACUGAAAUCCAAUGGGAUCUGAACGUCUAACUCCCACAGGGUUCUCUGAAAAUACUGACCUUGAGAUGCUACAUUUUUCUCUCAGCUGUGCCAGAGGUAGCAUGAGGGAAAUCUCUGCAGGAGAUGUCUGUAAAUGAGUUCAGAACUCACCCAUAAAAU
Long non-coding RNA from Falco peregrinus (peregrine falcon), 3524 nucleotides. RefSeq lists it as uncharacterized. The record is from RefSeq and is a predicted model, not a curated record. NCBI's taxonomy places the organism in Eukaryota, Metazoa, Chordata, Aves, Falconiformes, Falconidae. The transcript has 3 exons.